UUAGACUCGGCGAGUUGGAUGAACAACUCGGCGAGUCCUAUGAAGAUUGCCUGGAGCUCGCCGAGUUGUUCUUCAAACUCGGCGAGUCAUAUGAACUUUCACUGAGUAAGAGGGGUUUAAGUGUUGAAGGUCCAACCCUUCGUAUCUGCACGCGGAAUUAGCAGUGUAACGUAGUCCCAAAACCCCAAAUCCUCUUACGGAAUGUUCUGGUGAGGAUUGGAAGCGAGUAGGAGAUCUGCUCGUGGAACUCGGUGAGUUGCUCUCGGACUUGGCGAGUCGGAUCACGAAUCGGUUCCAUAGUCCCGAGUAGUGAGUCAAGGGUGACUCAGUGAGUGGAAAGAGGGACUUGGCGAGUAGGACCGGGUUAGUAGGAGAAGGACUCGGCGAGUCUGUGCCACGACUCGGCGAGUCCAGUCAACUGGGAGUUGACCUUGACCAAGGAGUUGACCUUGGACCAGGGAUGGGUCAGUCAAUUGACCUAAGGAUAUUUAUGAGUGGCUAAUCUAUGUUUAUGGGUUUGUAGCCGGAGGAUUACCGGUACAGCAGCCAGACGUCUAGCAGUCGGACUUUCGGUAGCUACUCUUCGAGGUGAGUUUCCUUCCAGUAGUAACGGGUCUAAGGCACCAAGGCCGGCCCAUAUAGACAUUAUGCUAGUGUCAGAGUGUGGGCAGAGCUCGUAUCUCAUGGUUGAGUUUGAUUAUGAUAUAUGCCAGUAUGAUAGAUUUGACUAUACUCGUUGUCUGUGUGAUACUUGUAUGUUAUGGAUUAGCAGCUGAGUGUUGGCGAGGCCCGUAUCUCUCUGAUAGUGGAGUGUGGGCGAGGCCCGUAUCUCUCAGAUAGCAGAGUAUGGGCGAGGCCCGUACCUCCUAGAUAGCGGAGUGUGGGCGAGGCCCUUAUCUCCCAGCUAGCGGAGUGUGGGCGAGGACCGUAUCUCGUAGCUGUUCAUUGUAUGUUUGUAUGGUAUGAGGUAUUAUGGGGGAACUCACUAAGCUUCGUGCUUACAGUUUUCAGUUUUGGUUUCAGGUACCUCUUCUUCGAAGGGGAUGGAGUUGGCGCGGUAGCGGCCCAUCACACACAUGCCUCGUAUUCCGCACUAUGAUAUCUUCCUGGGGAUUUGUACUCUGACAUUAUUAUGUUUAUGAAAAUGUUUUCCAGACAUGUUAUAUCUUUUAUGAAAUGUUAUGAUCGAUGAACGCUUUUAUUUCUAAUGCUUUACUAAGUAUAUGUUUUAAAAAUGAAAUUUUUGGCUUGUAUUUUUGGGACGUUACAAGUUGGUAUCAGAGCCCUGUUUAAGGGAUUCGGACACACCUUCGGGGGUGUCUGAACUCAAAUCAAGGGAUUAAAAGAUUUUAAAGAAGAAAAUGUUUUCUAAAAGCUAAGUAAAGAGUUUUAAGAAGGAACAAAGUGUGUGAUGUGCGCGACCGGCCGAGCUCAAGUAAGGAUUCCACAAGGUACCCAUACAAACUUAUGUUAUGUUUAUCAGUUUUAGUAGAACAGCAUGCUAGAAUAGGCCUAAGGAUCUAGUAGUGAUGCCAUAUGUGCCUACUUUAUGUGCCUCAGUGUAUGGAAAACUGCAUGCUAGAAUUGAGUAGACAACAGUAGGAUAGCCUGACUAGGUUAUGCCUGAUAGUAUGAGCUUAGCAUUGUAUGCUAGUGCAGUUCCUGUUACGAGGACAGAGUCGCUUGAGAUUGUUUCCUUUUGUCCGAAUGUUGUUUGCUUUGUGCUACGAGGGCCUCGAGUGAUGGGAGUUAGCUGUUAGGUGAAUACGUUAAAGUCACAUGUGAUCAGGGUUGAAUAAUCUCAGUGUGUUGGAUUUGACCCUAUUGCGUAGCUCUGGUUUGAGUCCUAACCAUUGUGGGGUGAGUCCCUCACUCGAAGGAUUAUCUGAGCCUCGUUGCAUGUGAUUGUAUUCGAGUAAUGGCUAAUUGGCAUUACAAAGAGACCGUCAGCAGCUGAGGACUGGGUUGGGAGGAGUCAGAGGUUUCCUAGGGUAAGCCUAGGAUGAGUAUAACAGUGAUCAACGGUAGUGAAAGGGACCUGGUGGAGUCAAGGCAGUCCUUGGAGAAGGUACGGAUAGAUGUGGAAGGUAGUAUGGGCCCGUACUACUGAAAAUAGAGGAUCCGUACCCGAACUAAGGAAGGCUGAGACAAGACCAGGGAACUUGAAAUAAAUGCGAUCCCUUUAGGGGUAUCAGUAUCAUUAAUGGUUGUCUGUGUGUAUUGCAGAAUGGUGGUACUACGCCAGAGGCCAGCUGGUGGCGGUUUUGGAGAGGGUUCGGGUUCGGGAUCAGGUUCCGAGCCAGUAGAUGAGAGGCUACGCGAGUUCAUCGCGUCAGAGAUCACCAGAGGCAUCCUUGAGUCGAUCCCCAUCAUUUUCGGGUCGAUCAAGGAAAGGAUAGUUGAGCUGAUGGAGGACCGCCUCAGGGCGUUCAGGAGUGACAUGGCAUCUGGCCAGUCAGGAUCUCGCACACUGUCCUUUAAGGACUUCAGGGUCAGUGGUGCGCCGGAUUUCCAUGGGGCGAAGGACCCCGUUACUGCCAGAUGAUGGAUUGCGGACAUUGAGUCCGCACAGUUGACGAGCUUCUGCCCCGAGGGGUCGAAGAUGAGAUGUGCAGCAGGAUGUUUACGAGACCGAGCUAGAGAUUGGUGGGAGUUCGUCGGUGACUCAUUGGGAGCCUCGACUGUUGAGGCUAUGACCUGGUCGGACUUUGUGACCAGGUUCAGGGCAGAGUUUGCGUCGGCUGUCGAGCUUCAACAGCUGGCCAGAGAGUUUUUAGACAUGAGGCAGACUACGGAGACUGUGGCGGAGAUCACCGCCAAGUUCCGGGAGAGGGCAUUGUUGGUGCCCCAGUAUGCGGGAGAUGAGGAUAUGAGGAGGACCCGCUAUCAUGACAUGUUACGGGCUGACAUCCGGGAGCAUGUUAGCUUUUCAGCUUGCCCUACCCUGGAGUCCAUGAUUGCCAGGGCGAGGGAAAGGGAGAUUGACUUGGAGCACAUUCGAAAGAGAAAGGCAGAGAUGGGGCAGGUGGUUGGGGCUUCGGGGAAGAAGCCCGAGGGAUCAGAUGGUAGGCCGAAAGGCCAAGGAGGGUUGGGCCGCUGCGGAAAAUGCGGCAGGUCGCAUGAGGGAGCAUGUAGAUUGGGAUCAUCAGGCUGCUACAAGUGCGGCAAGGCGGGGCACUUUAGCAGGGAUUGUACUGCCCCUGUCUCGGUUGUUCAGACAUCUGAGUUGUUGUGUUUCCACCGCAACCAGAGGGGCCACAAGAGGGCCAAUUGCCCCCAGUUGACAGCAGCAUCAGCGCCAGUGAAGGCGCCAACUCCAGCGAAUCUGAGGAUCACAGAUAGCCGGCAGGGCAAGUCAGAGACUCCAGUGGUGAGGAGUCGGGCCUUUCAACUGACGAAAGAGGAGGCACGCGCCGCACCCGAUGUGGUGACAAGUAUGAUUCUUUCCAUCUAUCUUAUUUUUAUGAUGUUAUGAUAUUGAUAUGUGCUCUAUUUAGGAUCGUUCCAUGUGAACGGUAUUCCAGUUCAGGUGUUGUUUGAUUCGGGGGCUACCCGAUCAUUUGUUUCUCUUGCGCUUAGCAAGAAGUUUCCUGAGUCUUCGGGCACGUUGGAUUGCCCUUUGGAGGUGGAGAUUGCCGAUGAUCGAUCAGUGCGAGCAUCAGCAGUGUUCAGGGAUUGUGUUCUAAAGUUGUUUGAGGAGCGCUACUUGGUGGAUUUGGUUCCCAUUCCGUUGCGUGGGAACAAGGUGAUUAUAGGCAUGGUUUGGUUGAGCCCUAAUGGGGCGGUGAUAGAUUGCGCACAGCAGCUGAUGCAGAUCAGGACCCCAAGUGGGGGAGAGUUGGUGAUCCAUGGCGAGAGGCCACAGCGUGGACCCACAGUAUGUUCAGCAGCAAGGGCUAGGCGCUACCUUCAGCAGGGUUGCGCGGGAUAUGUCGCGUACGUUAUGGAUACCCGGGAGGCGGGUAAGGCGACGGUGAGCGAGGUUCCAGUGGUGCGAGACUACGCUGAUGUGUUCCCGAAGGAGCUUCCUGGAAUACCUCCGGAGCGUCAGGUAGAGUUCAGGAUCAACCUAGUUCCUGGUGCGGCUCCGAUAGCCAAGGCACCCUAUCGGUUGGCUCCUCCCGAGAUGCAGGAGUUGUCUACGCAGCUGCAGGAGCUGCUAGACAAGAGAUUUAUUCGACUGAGCAGUUCACCCUGGGGAGCCCCGGUCCUGUUUUUGAAGAAGAAGGACGGGUCGCAUCGGAUGUGUAUUGAUUAACAGGAGCUGAAUAAGGUAACAGUGAAGAACCGUUACCCACUCCCGAGGAUUGAUGACCUCUUUGAUCAGUUAUAGGGAGCAUCUUGGUUCUCCAAGAUCGAUUUGCGGUCAGGGUAUCAUCAGAUGAGGGUCCGAGAGGAGGAUGUACAGAAGACCGCGUUUCGGACGCGUUACGGCCAUUAUGAGUUCGUAGUGAUGCCGUUUGGGCUCACCAAUGCUCCUGUCGCGUUCAUGGACCUCAUGAACCGCGUAUGUAGACCGAUGCUGGAUCGGUCUGUGAUAGUUUUCAUUGAUGACAUCUUGGUUUAUUCCAAGACGCAGGAGGAGCAUGAGGAACAUCUGAGAGAGGUUUUGGAGACCUUGAGGAGGGAGAGCUUGUCCGCCAAGUUCUACAAAUGUGAGUUUUGGUUGCGCGAGGUGCAGUUUCUUGGGCACCUCAUCAACCAGAACGGGAUCUCAGUAGACCCGACCAAGGUGGAGGCCGUGAUGAGAUGGGAGGUUCCGAAGUCUCCAUCCGAGAUUCGGAGUUUCCUGGGAUUAGCGGGCUACUAUCGGAGAUUCAUUCAGGACUUCUCUAAGAUAGCCGUACCUCUGACGCGACUGACAAAGAAAGCUGUGGUCUUUCGAUGGGGGCCUGAGCAGCAGGCAGCAUUCGAGGCUCUAAGACAGAGAUUGUGUGAGGCGCCAAUCUUAGCCCUGCCAGAGGGCGUAGAGGAUUUUGUGGUAUAUUGUGAUGCGUCCAUUUCGGGGUUGGGCGUGGUACUGAUGCAGAGAGGUCAUGUCAUUGCCUAUGCUUCGAGGCAACUGAAGCCUCACGAGGCGAACUACCCGACGCACGAUUUAGAGUUGGGGGCGGUGGUCUUCGCCCUCAAGAUUUGGCGACAUUACCUCUAUGGGGUUCGGUGUACCAUUUACACGGACCACAAGAGUUUGAGGUACCUCAUGGAUCAGCCGAAUCUGAACAUGAGGCAGCGUCGGUGGCUCGAUGUGGUGAAGGAUUAUGAUUGUGAGAUCCUUUACCACCCGGGGAAGGCCAAUGUGGUGGCCGAUGCGCUUAGCCGCAAGGNNNNNNNNNNNNNNNNNNNNNNNNNNNNNNNNNNNNNNNNNNNNNNNNNNNNNNNNNNNNNNNNNNNNNNNNNNNNNNNNNNNNNNNNNNNNNNNNNNNNGCAUAGUGGGUCAGGUUUCCUCCUUCGACUAUGAUAGCAGAGGAUUAUUGUCAUUACACCGCAGGGUGUGGGUGACGUACCUCGGAGGCGUGCGCCAGGUCUUGUUGGAGGAGGCACACAAAUCUCGAUUCUCCAUUCAUCCCGGGGCGACGAAGAUGUAUAGGGAUCUUCGUCUGGACUAUUGGUGACGCUGCAUGAAGCGCGAUGUGGCUUGGUACGUCGAGCGGUGCUUGACCUGCAGGAAGGUCAAGGCCGAGCACCAGAGACCGCACGGAAAGAUGCAGCCAUUGGAUAUCCCGUUAUGGAAAUGGGAAGGUAUUACGAUGGACUUUAUCACGAAGCUACCCAGGACCGCGCGGGGAGUGGAUUCUAUAUGGGUCAUCGUGGACCGGUUGACCAAGAGCGCCCAUUUUAUCCCAAUUCAGGAGAAGAUCUCGGCCGAGAAGUUGCCCGACAUCUAUAUCAGAGAGGUAGUGGCGCGGCACGGGGUGCCCGUAUUAGUGAUUUCAGACAGAGAUGUGCGAUUUACUUCCAGGUUUUGGAAGAAGUUCCAUGACGAGUUGGGUACUCGUCUGCAUUUCAGCACCACUUUUCAUACGCAGACGGAUGGUCAGAGCGAGCGGACCAUCCAAACGUUGGAAGAUAUGUUGCGGGCAUGUGUUCUGGAUUUUGGAGGUAUUUGGGAUACCUACCUCCCGUUGGCAGAGUUCUCAUAUAAUAAUAGCCAUCAUGCGAGCAUCGACCGUCCUCCCUUCGAUAUGUUGUAUGGAAGGAGGUGCAGUACCCCGAUAUGUUGGGGAGAGGUUGGCCAGAAGGUCAUGGGAAGCACCGAAGUGGUGCUCCAGACGACAGAGAAGAUCCAGCAGGUCCGGGGUAGGCUCCAGACUGCCCAGAGUCGGCAGAAAAGUUAUGCCGACAAGCGUCGUUCAGACUUGGAAUUCCAAUUCGGGGAUAUGGUUCCCCUGAAGGUGUCGCCGUGGAAAGGCGUCAUCCGAUUCAGGAAGCAAGGCAAGUUGGGCCCAAGGUUCAUCGGUCCAUUCAGGGUUGUAGCCCGGGUGGGCAAGGUGGCGUAUAGAUUGGAUGUGCCAGCCGAAAUCAGCCAGAUCCACAUCAAUUUCCACGUCUCUCAAUUGCGGAAGUGUUUGGUAGACGACUCGGCAGUGGUGCCUUUGGAGGAUAUUCAGGCUGAUGACAGCCUAAUUACAUCGAGCGGCCUGUGGUGAUCCUCUACAGGAAGUCGAAGGAUCUAAGGAACAAGAGGGUGGAACUCGUGAAGGUGCAAUGGCAGCACCGAAAGGGAUCGGAGUGGACUUAGGAGCCGGUGGAAGAGAUGAUGGAGCAUUACCCCGAGUUGUUUCAAGAUCGAGCAGCAGACUUAGAGGACGAAGUCUGAAAUAAGUGGGGGAGAUUUGUAGCACCUGGUUCCUGGUACGUACUCCUUGUGAUUAAUAUUUUAAUUUUACGCAUUUUUGCAUUGGACUCGGCGAGUAAACCCUGUUUGGACAAAAACCCUAAUCCAGGCAUUUUCACCCUAUUUAAACGCUCUAACUUGGCCUCCUUAGUCCCUAACACUUCCAGAGAACUGUAGAAAGAAACCCUAGCCCCCAUAUUGUUCUUGAGAAUGAUUUUGGCUUUGUGGAGAAGGUUUGGAGCUUAGAGGAAGGAAAAGGAGGUUGAAGUGUGCAAGGAGGGGAGGUAGAUCCGGAAUCUACACUGUGAGAAGCUUCCAUUCAGGUAGAAAAGUUCUUACCUUGAUCAUUAGUUCAUUAGAUCCCCUUUUUGUCCCAAAUUAGUGGUUUCAAGCCCUAAACCUCAAAUUCCAUGUAUUUAUGCUUUAAGUUUUGAAAGGACUUCAGAUUGGGAUCUUAUGGACAUCCUAAAAGUAUAAAGUCUCCGUGGUUGCGGUUAUUGAGGUCCCUAUUGAGUGUAUGACCCCUUAAAGAGCUUGGAUUUGCCUUCUUGAGCUCAUAGGGCCAUGCAUGCACGUAAAGUUUGCAACUUUACGUGAUAAGCAUGCCCUAGGAGCAUAGAUCUAUGGGUUAGAAACGUUGCAUGUCUCAGUUUUGGUCUGUAUGGGAAGUGGGUCGAAGGGACUCGGCGAGUCCCAAAGUGGAAAUCAGCGAGUUCUAUGAAGAUAGUCUUAAACUCAGCGAGUUGGAUGAACAACUCGGUGAGUCCUAUGAAGAUUGCCUGGAGCUCGCCGAGUUGUUCUUCAAACUCGGCGAGUCAUAUGAACUUUCUCUGAGUAAGAGGGGUUUAAGUGUUGUAGGUCCAACCCUUCGUAUCUGCACACGGAAUUAGCAGAGUAACGUAGUCCCAAAACCCCAAAUCCUCUUACGGAAUGUUCUGG
RNAcentral lists this long non-coding RNA (7774 nucleotides) under Lactuca sativa (garden lettuce). Its description in RNAcentral is "long non-coding RNA (LSAT_LNC006018)". The record is from RNAcentral. Lineage: Eukaryota; Viridiplantae; Streptophyta; Magnoliopsida; Asterales; Asteraceae.